This 57-nucleotide transfer RNA is filed under the name Enterobius vermicularis (human pinworm). Its description in RNAcentral is "tRNA-Glu". The record is from RNAcentral. Lineage: Eukaryota; Metazoa; Nematoda; Chromadorea; Rhabditida; Oxyuridae.
GAAGUCUUAGUAUAAUUUUUAGUAUGUCUUUUUUUCGUGAAGAUGGUUAGGAUUUUU